Molecule: long non-coding RNA, 2804 nt
Filed under: Mytilus galloprovincialis (Mediterranean mussel)
Lineage: Eukaryota; Metazoa; Mollusca; Bivalvia; Mytilida; Mytilidae
Source: RNAcentral
ACUCUUUCAUUAUUAUGUGUAUGUUUAUUACGAAUCUUUUAGCUGUUUGGAGGAUAUAAAGGUCUGACAUUGUAAGUACUUUUGUUCAAAUUACAAAAUAUUAAAAUGAAGAUUAGUUUUUAUCAAAUUUGAAAACGGAUUUUGACAAUUAAAAUCCACCAUAUAUAUAUUAAAAUUUUACACAGAGAAACAAAAAAAACAAAUACAAAAAACAGACGGAUGUUUUUUAUGACUUAAGAUUAUAUAGUUUUGAUCUCAUUGUUAAGUUCAAUAUGUUUAUUAAUAAGCUCAGAAAAACACGAACAAAUUUCUAAAAUGUUUAUCAUAUUUUUAAAACUGACAAAAGAUAUGAAUUAUUUUAAUAGUUUGAGAUGACAUAGCACAAACUGGAAAAAGGACCGGGGUAUAUAUCGAUCUUUCUUUGUAAAACAAUUAAGGAAAAAGAAACCAGACUACAUUUGUAAUGUUAUCUGUAUUUAUAUAUAAAUCUCAUCACAUAGUCACGUGAUAUAUCAAAAUGAUUUAUUGAUCUUAUAGGCAAAACUGGAAUAAUCGUAAUGUAUUAUUGCAAACACAUAAUUUAUGACUGUGUAUAAACAUAUAGUUACAUGUAAAUCAUUAUAUUGUUGUUAAUUACAUGUAAUUGUCAUGCAUUUGGCCCUCUUAUGGUGUAAUUUGUGCUUUAAUAAAGUUAUAUAAUGAUAGGUCUUUUUUUUACCAUGUCAAAGCUAGGUCAAAAUAAAUAAUUACAGUACAAUAAUUACCAUUUAGAGAACAUGCAAUGCAGAAUACGUUGCAGGCAGAUGAGAUAUAGAAUAAGCUAUUUUAGUCGACAAAAUAAUAAGUGAUUUGAAAUAGUCAAAACGACACAUUACACCAAACAAUCUACCUUUGUUACCCAAUUAAUGCCUUCUUCGUCCUAUUUGAAAAAAGCUUCGUUUUUAAAGUCGUACAUGUACUAUGUCCUUUUUUAGUUUACUUUUGACAAAUUGUGACUUGGACGGAGACUUGCCUGAUUGACAUUAAUAUCAAUUCUUAUAACUAAGACAAGUACAAAUGAGUACCAUGAGGAAACAAACGGUCCCACAACGUUUGUAGUUCACGCGAAUAGUGUUUUACCUUUUUAUAUGUUUGAAAAUGAAUUUAUUAGACUGAGACAAGCUGAGCGAUAAACUGCCGUGGUUUCUGAUUAUUAUUUUUGGAGUUAUCCGUAACAAAAAAGUUUUCAGAUGCCAGGCAUAGAUAGCCUGAUAAAUAUGUCAAAUCUUUAUUAGACUGUUAUAUAUUUAGUGCUUUUUAAAUUCAUUAUUUAAUUUGCUUUCAAUUAAUUGCUGUAACAAGUAAAAAUCAAACUGUGCAACAAAACUGCUGCCUAUAUCAAAAUGCGGUCUUCAAUAUGGGUCGGGCGUUGUAUAAUUUUCUUUUGUUUUCGAACACAAUUUGAAUUGCACAAAUGAAUAAUAUGUUUUGUGUGUUGUUUCUUUCCAGUUGAAGACUUUAAAAUGGAGACGGCCAGUGGAAAUGAAAUACACGGUUUAAGCUCAAAUUAUGUUGCCCAGCGUAACAUGCGUAAGUCUUCAUAAUUCUUUUUUGACACAAAUUUGGAAUUUCUUUCAUAUGCACUUUUGUUUUGCCUUUUGGUCAUAUAUUUUUUUUUGCAUUUAUAAUUUUUUUGUUUGUUCAGGUUUUCAAUAACUCAUAUUUGUCUUCUUAUUCAUACAUUCAUUUGCGAUGUGUAUUCGAUUACAACACUGUCCCAUGCAAGAGAGGGGAGGGUUAGGAUCCCGCUAACAUGUUUAACCCCACCACAUUCUGUAUGUAUGUCCCAAGUCAGGAGCCUGUUAUUCAGUGGUUGUCGUUUGUUCAUGUGUUACAUAUUUGUUUUAAGUUUAAUUUUUUGUACAUAAAUAAGGCUGUUGUUUUACAUUUUCAUUUCGGAGCCUUUUAACAUGACUAUGCGGAAUGGACAUUGCUCAUUGUUGAAGGCCGUAUACUAGUAGUUGUGAAUUUCUGUUUAAUGUAGUCUCUUUUGGAGAAUGUGUUAUUGGCAAUAAUACUAUAUCUUCUUUUUCAUAAACCUUAGUAUACAAAACACAACAUAGAAAACGUAAAAUCUAAGCUACAAGAACCCUACCAAAAACAGGGGUUGACGUCCGGUGCACCGAAAAUGUAUGCAAAUCCUGCUUUACGUAUGGCACCCGAUACUCAUGCUAGUAUAAACCCGGUAACACGUUUACAUCGGUAGGUAACAUUUGUGAAAAACAGACGAAAUUGCAGUAAUUACAUUCGGAACAUAUCCACCAUCAUCCGUAUAACGGAUAUUCCAUAAAUAUAUAGCGUCUCAACAGAACCUUUCAACGUAUUAAGUUUGUAUCUUUUGUUUCUCACUGAAGUGUAACCAUUUCAUUUGCAUUACUGUAUUAUUAAGAAAAGUCAAAAUUAUAAUUCUGAUAUUUUUUUUUACUUUUUAGAGCGCUUAUGUAAACUGUACAUGUACCUCGAACUAAUACAAAAGUUACAUUGUUUGUAAUACUUUUUAGAAAAAAAAUUAUCAAUGUAGAAAACUAAAAGAAAGUCAUACCAUAAAUAUUAAAGAUGAUUUUAGAUCAACAUGGAUGACAUGUGACAGGCACUAUAUCAAAUUAAAAAAAAAACUCCUUCUUUUUCAGAACCAUUUGUUCCAAAAACUUUCAUUCAAAAGAUAAUUGCAUGUGUAACCCAGCCAAACAUUAUCUAUAUGCCUCCUGAUGUGAAAGUAAUACAAGAAGGGAAUGAAACCUUACGUAUUAUUGUUAAUAAAGGUA